Molecule: regulatory RNA element, 214 nt
Organism: Streptococcus mutans
Lineage: Bacteria; Bacillati; Bacillota; Bacilli; Lactobacillales; Streptococcaceae
Rfam family: FMN riboswitch aptamer (RFN element)
About the family: The RFN element is a highly conserved domain that is found frequently in the 5'-untranslated regions of prokaryotic mRNAs that encode for flavin mononucleotide (FMN) biosynthesis and transport proteins.
Source: Rfam
AAGUGUCUUCAGGGCAGGGUGAGAUUCCCGACCGGCGGUGACAAAGGCGAUGAUUUUUCAACGAGAUUAGAUAGUAAGUCGAAGAUGAUAUUAGACUAUAUCAAGAUGAGCUAAUGAUGCGUCAGAGAAAAGAUUCCUUUUGAAGUCCGCGAGCGCAAGCUGAUGUGGUGAAAUUCCACAACCGACAGUAAAGUCUGGAUGGGAGAAGACUGAG